GAAACGAAAAAUGCAGCCGAGGCAAAGGUGCAAUGCAAUGUGCCAGGCACCGCUGUUCGAGGCCUCAGUGUCACAUGAAACUGUGGAAGCUUGCACAUCUAGUCUCCUCAGUGCAAUAUGAGAGGACUGUCCCAGUUGGUGCCUCCAUAGAAAAUGAAUCGGCCUGAAUGCCUGUGCAAGAAUCACAACCUGGCUGCUCUAAAGACUCCGCACCGUAGUCCCAUGUGCAAGAGCCCCCACUUGACAGCCCAGUGGUUGCCAUGGACAAAGAGAUCCGCGAUACUGAAUGCGGCCAAGCAGUACAAGUUUUUACAUGGACAGUUAACACGAAGUUAUUGACGACAUGCAUGGCUGAAACACGGUGAUAUGAUUUUAAAAAUUCCUGUGUUAUGAUGCAAGUGAUAGUAUUCUGUUGAAUUUUCAGAUCUAGUCAUGUGCCAGCAAGGCCUGCUGUACUUCUGGUGUAUUCUAUGUUGUAUUUUCAAAUAAAGAUGUUGCAUUCUGAAGUUAGCCUUAUACUGCCUGUGGAACUGUCAAUUUAUACUCAGAUUAUUUAUACAAGCUAACGGCGCCUCCUCCUCAGGCGUUCAAAUUGUGUUUUGAACUGUAUUUUUGAGAACAUUACCGUUACAUAUUUGCU
Molecule: long non-coding RNA, 640 nt
Organism: Dermacentor albipictus
Lineage: Eukaryota; Metazoa; Arthropoda; Arachnida; Ixodida; Ixodidae
Source: RefSeq, a predicted model, not a curated record